RNAcentral lists this ribosomal RNA (1179 nucleotides) under Triticum aestivum (bread wheat). RNAcentral describes it as "partial small subunit ribosomal RNA". Lineage: Eukaryota; Viridiplantae; Streptophyta; Magnoliopsida; Poales; Poaceae. The record is from RNAcentral.
AUGACGCUGAGGAAGAUCCCAAGGGGCAAGACGGGGUUCUUCGGCGCUAGGGCGAAGCCCUCGGGCAACUUCGGGGUCGAUUUCUCCGACGCCGACCGCCGCUUUUGGCUCGGCACGUACCCCACCGUCCACGAGGCCGCGCGUGCCUACGACGUGGUGGUGUGGCGUGCCGGGAGGCCGAAGAAUGACCUCAACCUCCCAGAGAGCAAGACCCAGUGCCGUGACAUGGCGGCGUUGGCGUUCUACGACCUCUACUUCCAGCGCUCGUACGCCUUCGACAUCAUGCCCCCAGAUCUGUCCUCUGGUAGCCGGUACAUCUACACCCGCGCCCAGGACAACGACAAGGCGGAGCGGGCCAUCAUCACCACCAGCGUCCUCGGCGCCGUGGACGCCGACAGGGCUGAUCCGGUUGUCGGCCGCGACGACGAGAUCGAACGCGUCGGCUGCAUCCUCUUCCGCCGCACCAAAAACUGCGCCGCGCUCGUCGGGCCGCCGGUGCCUGCACUCGAGCGCCAGUUCCAGAAGGUUGUCGUCGAGGAGCCGAGCGUGCUGGCCACCAUUGACAUCCUAAGAGGGCUGAAACAGUUCUACCAAGAGCACCAUGGCUUGAAAAUCCAGGACGAUGCACUCGUUGCUGCAGCACAUCUCGCUGCCCGAUAUAUUACAGGUGGCCAGUUUCCUGACAAGGCAAUUGAUUUGAUCAACGAGGCAUGCUCUACCGCAAAGAUGCACAAAGUGGACAAUAACAUGAUUACCUCUAUAUUUGCACCCAAGGAGUUAACUGUUGGCCCGACUCAUAUCACAAAGGUUCAGAAACACUUCAAGCCUGAGUUUCUCAACAGACUGGGUGAGGUUGUGAUAUUUGAGCUGCUUUCACAUGAUGAACUGAAGGAAAUAGUGAAAAUCCAAAUGAAGGAUGUCAUUGCCACAGUAGCUAAUAAGGGUGUCUCUCUAUUUAUAAAUGACGCCGCAUUGGAUGCCAUUUGGUCGGAAUCAUACAGUCUAGUGGGUGGCACAAGACCCAUGAGGAGAUGGGUGGAGAAGAAUGUGAUGACAAUUCUUUCGAACAUGUUGGUGAAUAGAGAAGCUUGUGAAGGCUCCACAAUCUCCAUAGAUGCCGCAGAUGAUAACAGGGGGCUGAAGUACCAAAUACUGAAGAAGGGAGUCAUAGAUCCAUAA